AACGAACGCUGGCGGCAUGCCUAACACAUGCAAGUCGAACGAGACCUUCGGGUCUAGUGGCGUACGGGUUCGUCACGCGAGGGAACAUGCCCUUAGGUUCGGCAUAACUCCCAGAAAGGGGUGCUAAUACCGGAUAAUGUCUUCGGACCAAAGAUUUAUUGCCUUUGGAUGGGCACGCGUUGGAUUAGCUAGUUGGUAGGCUAAAAGACUACCAAGGCGACGAUUCAUAGCUGGUCUGUGAGAAUGCUCAGCCACACUGGGACUGAGACGCGGCCCAGACUCCUACGGGAGGCAGCAGUGGGUAAUAUUGGACAGUGGGCGAAAGCCUGAUCCAGCAAGGCCGCGUGAGUGAUGAAGGCCUUAGGGUUGUAAAGCUCUUUUACCCGGGAAGAUAAUGACAGUACCGGGAGAAUAAGCUCCGGCUAACUCCGUG
RNAcentral lists this ribosomal RNA (433 nucleotides) under uncultured bacterium. RNAcentral's name for it is "partial 16S ribosomal RNA". It matches the Rfam family "Bacterial small subunit ribosomal RNA", at positions 29 to 507 of the family's 1533-position model. The record is from RNAcentral.